This 1867-nucleotide ribosomal RNA is filed under the name Escherichia coli. RNAcentral's name for it is "partial 23S ribosomal RNA". It matches the Rfam family "Bacterial large subunit ribosomal RNA", at positions 296 to 2157 of the family's 2925-position model. The record is from RNAcentral. Lineage: Bacteria; Pseudomonadati; Pseudomonadota; Gammaproteobacteria; Enterobacterales; Enterobacteriaceae.
AGCCCAGAGCCUGAAUCAGUGUGUGUGUUAGUGGAAGCGUCUGGAAAGGCGCGCGAUACAGGGUGACAGCCCCGUACACAAAAAUGCACAUGCUGUGAGCUCGAUGAGUAGGGCGGGACACGUGGUAUCCUGUCUGAAUAUGGGGGGACCAUCCUCCAAGGCUAAAUACUCCUGACUGACCGAUAGUGAACCAGUACCGUGAGGGAAAGGCGAAAAGAACCCCGGCGAGGGGAGUGAAAAAGAACCUGAAACCGUGUACGUACAAGCAGUGGGAGCCUCUUUUAUGGGGUGACUGCGUACCUUUUGUAUAAUGGGUCAGCGACUUAUAUUCUGUAGCAAGGUUAACCGAAUAGGGGAGCCGAAGGGAAACCGAGUCUUAACUGGGCGUUAAGUUGCAGGGUAUAGACCCGAAACCCGGUGAUCUAGCCAUGGGCAGGUUGAAGGUUGGGUAACACUAACUGGAGGACCGAACCGACUAAUGUUGAAAAAUUAGCGGAUGACUUGUGGCUGGGGGUGAAAGGCCAAUCAAACCGGGAGAUAGCUGGUUCUCCCCGAAAGCUAUUUAGGUAGCGCCUCGUGAAUUCAUCUCCGGGGGUAGAGCACUGUUUCGGCAAGGGGGUCAUCCCGACUUACCAACCCGAUGCAAACUGCGAAUACCGGAGAAUGUUAUCACGGGAGACACACGGCGGGUGCUAACGUCCGUCGUGAAGAGGGAAACAACCCAGACCGCCAGCUAAGGUCCCAAAGUCAUGGUUAAGUGGGAAACGAUGUGGGAAGGCCCAGACAGCCAGGAUGUUGGCUUAGAAGCAGCCAUCAUUUAAAGAAAGCGUAAUAGCUCACUGGUCGAGUCGGCCUGCGCGGAAGAUGUAACGGGGCUAAACCAUGCACCGAAGCUGCGGCAGCGACGCUUAUGCGUUGUUGGGUAGGGGAGCGUUCUGUAAGCCUGUGAAGGUGUGCUGUGAGGCAUGCUGGAGGUAUCAGAAGUGCGAAUGCUGACAUAAGUAACGAUAAAGCGGGUGAAAAGCCCGCUCGCCGGAAGACCAAGGGUUCCUGUCCAACGUUAAUCGGGGCAGGGUGAGUCGACCCCUAAGGCGAGGCCGAAAGGCGUAGUCGAUGGGAAACAGGUUAAUAUUCCUGUACUUGGUGUUACUGCGAAGGGGGGACGGAGAAGGCUAUGUUGGCCGGGCGACGGUUGUCCCGGUUUAAGCGUGUAGGCUGGUUUUCCAGGCAAAUCCGGAAAAUCAAGGCUGAGGCGUGAUGACGAGGCACUACGGUGCUGAAGCAACAAAUGCCCUGCUUCCAGGAAAAGCCUCUAAGCAUCAGGUAACAUCAAAUCGUACCCCAAACCGACACAGGUGGUCAGGUAGAGAAUACCAAGGCGCUUGAGAGAACUCGGGUGAAGGAACUAGGCAAAAUGGUGCCGUAACUUCGGGAGAAGGCACGCUGAUAUGUAGGUGAAGUCCCUUGCGGAUGGAGCUGAAAUCAGUCGAAGAUACCAGCUGGCUGCAACUGUUUAUUAAAAACACAGCACUGUGCAAACACGAAAGUGGACGUAUACGGUGUGACGCCUGCCCGGUGCCGGAAGGUUAAUUGAUGGGGUCAGCGCAAGCGAAGCUCUUGAUCGAAGCCCCGGUAAACGGCGGCCGUAACUAUAACGGUCCUAAGGUAGCGAAAUUCCUUGUCGGGUAAGUUCCGACCUGCACGAAUGGCGUAAUGAUGGCCAGGCUGUCUCCACCCGAGACUCAGUGAAAUUGAACUCGCUGUGAAGAUGCAGUGUACCCGCGGCAAGACGGAAAGACCCCGUGAACCUUUACUAUAGCUUGACACUGAACAUUGAGCCUUGAUGUGUAGGAUAGGUGGGAGGCUU